RNAcentral lists this ribosomal RNA (301 nucleotides) under uncultured bacterium. RNAcentral's name for it is "partial 16S ribosomal RNA". It matches the Rfam family "Bacterial small subunit ribosomal RNA", at positions 509 to 807 of the family's 1533-position model. The record is from RNAcentral.
CAGUCGCCACGGUAAUACGAAGGGGGCUAGCGUUGUUCGGAAUUACUGGGCGUAAAGCGCACGCAGGCGGCUCGAUAAAUUAGAAGUGAAAGCCUUGGGCUUAACCUGAGAAUUGCUUUUAAGACUGUCGAGCUAGAAUCCAGAAGAGGGUAGUGGAAUUCCGAGUGUAGAGGUGAAAUUCGUAGAUAUUCGGAAGAACACCAGUGGCGAAGGCGACUACCUGGUCUGGCAUUGACGCUCAUGUGCGAAAGCGUGGGGAGCAAACAGGAUUAGAUACCCCCGUAGUCCCUGUCUCUUAUAC